Molecule: ribosomal RNA, 1421 nt
Filed under: Didymium spongiosum
Lineage: Eukaryota; Evosea; Eumycetozoa; Physariida; Didymiaceae
Description: SSU rRNA
Rfam family: Eukaryotic small subunit ribosomal RNA
Source: RNAcentral
CUUCUCCUAAAGACUAAGCCAUGCAUGCCUUCGAAUAAGAGGAAGCAAUUCUCUCUGAAUCUGCGAACGGCUCCGCAAACCAGUUGUAAACUAUAGCAAGCAAGCCCGGGGUUGGCCUUCACGGGCUGGCUUCGGGCAAUACGGAUAACCCUGGUAAUUCUGAGGCUAAUACGAGAAAGUACACCCUGGCUAACCGGCCUCGGCUGGAAGGCUGGGAAACGUGCGAUAUCGUUGCGAGGAUGCACCGGGAAAGGACGCACGUUUGGACCGCGCUACAAAGGAUGCCACGCUAGACCUUCGGGCGAGGCGGGGUGCCCCAGCGGCUCUUGCGGUGUGCUUCUGACCUAUCAACUAGACGGCAGCGUAACGGACAUGCUAUGGUGACAACGGGUACAGAGGAUAAGGGUUCGAUCCUGGAGAGUGGGCCUGAGAGAUUGCUCAUAUUCUAAGGAAGGCAGCAGGCGCAACGUUCCCCUUGUGCAAUAUGAGGGCGUUAGGGGACAUAUGAAUGCCUGCCCAAUGGGUGGGCAAUUCAAAUGGGUCUGUUGUAAACAGGCUCUCGAGUAACAAUUAGAGGACAAGUCUGGUGCCAGCACCCGCGAGAAACACGCCGCGGGGAUAGCUUCUAAGGAAGGAAGGCUAGUCGGGUCGACUCCAGCUAGCUACUGGGGAAGACCUGGCGACACUGCCAAAUUGCGGGGACAUCCUGAGAGCCUCACCCACCAAGCCUACCCUCGAAAGGGGGUAGGUGGCCCGGCUAAUCACCUGGGGUACGGUAACAGCGGUGAGGAUUGGACUAUCUGCAGCCAAGCCCGCAACGGGAGCACUAGUAAGGUCGGGGGGGACCCCACCAGAAUCCUGCUCUCAGGGUGCAGUUCAGAGACUAAACGGUAGUGGGUGGUCGAACCUCAGUAUCAAUGCGCCCCGGGGCGCGAGAAAGGGUAAAGGCUGCUUAAGAUAUAGUCCAGCUCCCCUCCUAAUAGUGGGGAUACAGUCGGUAAUUCCAGCUCUAAUAGCAUACGUUAAAGUUGUUGCGGUUAAAACGCUCGUAGUCGGCUUCAGACCAUCAGAAACCUGAGCUGGGAACCUUGAUCAGCUGCUCUUCGGGGCACAUCGAGCAACUGGCAAGGGUAGGCGGUGGUCAAGUGUAUCUCAGGCUGUACUCCCUCGUGGAGCUCACAGGGCUCAGCCUCUUUCGGGGGGCUGGGUUCGGCUUGGGGUGCCAUUUACCAUGACCAAACUGGUGUGAUUAAAGCAGGUCGUUCGACCUUGCACAGCACAGCAUGGCAUAAAUCUAACUGGUUCAGUCCUUCUCGCAGGGACUGGGCUGGUAGAAGCGAUAGGGGUGUUCGAGGGUGACCGAAUUGCUGGGCGAGUGGUGAAAUACGUUGACCCUAGCAAGUCGACCAAAGGCGAAAGCA